Xenia sp. Carnegie-2017 is the source of this 344-nucleotide long non-coding RNA. RefSeq lists it as uncharacterized. Lineage: Eukaryota; Metazoa; Cnidaria; Anthozoa; Malacalcyonacea; Xeniidae. The transcript has 2 exons. The record is from RefSeq and is a predicted model, not a curated record.
CAAUUACUUAGCAAGCAAGCACGUCAUGAUAAACACGUCUUCCUUUAGAUGACAGUGAUUUUUUGUGUUACAAACCUUUCACUGGUCGACGGUUGAAGCUUCAAAUAUUCGAUCUUUCAGAUCUCUUAACGUUCUGAUAAGUUAAGCGUCAAAUGGCUUCGUCCGUUGAGUUCAUACGUGGCAAAAUAUUUUGGGCAACUGAAUUUAAAACAUUAAAAGUUAAUUGUCAUGUAAAAGCAAAGAUACGGCCUUAUGAUUUUUAUUGUUUUUAUUAAUAUGCUUGAAUUUUAUUACCAUUUCCUUGGUAUUUUGGGAGUUUGUUAAAAAAAACCUUAGCUCCAUAA